AGCCAGGCAAGUACAAUGCCAAGAAAUUCUGUCUUGAGCCGACUUCCUUCACUGUCAAGGCAGAGGGUGUCACCAAGAAUUCUCCUCUGGAAUUCCAAAACACCAAGCUCAUGACACGUCUUACCUACACCCUCGAUGAGAUUGAGGGACCCUUCGAGGUGUCCUCUGAUGGCACCGUGAAAUUUGAGGAGAAGGACGGCAUUGACUACGCUGCAGUGACUGUUCAGCUCCCAGGAGGAGAGCGCGUGCCGUUCCUCUUCACCAUCAAGCAGUUGGUGGCAUCAGGGAAGCCAGACAACUUUGGUGGGGAGUUUUUGGUGCCGUCUUACCGUGGAAGCUCUUUCCUGGACCCUAAGGGAAGAGGUGCUUCCACUGGGUACGACAAUGCAGUAGCAUUGCCGGCAGGUGGAAGAGGAGACGAGGAAGAACUCGCUAAGGAGAACAACAAGAGUGC
RNAcentral lists this long non-coding RNA (454 nucleotides) under Arachis ipaensis. Its description in RNAcentral is "long non-coding RNA (AIPA_LNC000041)". Lineage: Eukaryota; Viridiplantae; Streptophyta; Magnoliopsida; Fabales; Fabaceae. The record is from RNAcentral.